AACGAACGCUGGCGGCAUGCCUAACACAUGCAAGUCGAACGAGACCUUCGGGUCUAGUGGCGCACGGGUGCGUAACGCGUGGGAACCUGCCCUUAGGUUCGGAAUAACUCCCCGAAAGGGGUGCUAAUACCGGAUAAUGUCUUCGGACCAAAGAUUUAUCGCCUUUGGAUGGGCCCGCGUUGGAUUAGCUAGUUGGUAGGGUAAAAGCCUACCAAGGCGACGAUCCAUAGCUGGUCUGAGAGGAUGAUCAGCCACACUGGGACUGAGACAGGCCCAGACUCCUACGGGAGGCAGCAGUGGGGAAUAUUGGACAAUGGGCGAAAGCCUGAUCCAGCAAUGCCGCGUGAGUGAUGAAGGCCUUAGGGUUGUAAAGCUCUUUUACCCGGGAUGAUAAUGACAGUACCGGGAGAAUAAGCUCCGGCUAACUCCGUG
RNAcentral lists this ribosomal RNA (432 nucleotides) under uncultured bacterium. RNAcentral's name for it is "partial 16S ribosomal RNA". It matches the Rfam family "Bacterial small subunit ribosomal RNA", at positions 29 to 507 of the family's 1533-position model. The record is from RNAcentral.